Molecule: ribosomal RNA, 1434 nt
Filed under: uncultured organism
Description: 16S ribosomal RNA
Rfam family: Bacterial small subunit ribosomal RNA
Source: RNAcentral
CGACAGGCUUAACACAUGCAAGUCGAGGGGCAGCACAGGUAGCAAUACCGGGUGGCGACCGGCGCACGGGUGAGUAACGCGUAUGCAACUUGCCUAUCAGAGGGGGAUAACCCGGCGAAAGUCGGACUAAUACCGCAUGAAGCAGGGGUCCCGCAUGGGAAUAUUUGCUAAAGAUUCAUCGCUGAUAGAUAGGCAUGCGUUCCAUUAGGCAGUUGGCGGGGUAACGGCCCACCAAACCGACGAUGGAUAGGGGUUCUGAGAGGAAGGUCCCCCACAUUGGUACUGAGACACGGACCAAACUCCUACGGGAGGCAGCAGUGAGGAAUAUUGGUCAAUGGCCGAGAGGCUGAACCAGCCAAGUCGCGUGAGGGAUGAAGGUUCUAUGGAUCGUAAACCUCUUUUAUAAGGGAAUAAAGUGCGGGACGUGUCCCGUUUUGUAUGUACCUUAUGAAUAAGGAUCGGCUAACUCCGUGCCAGCAGCCGCGGUAAUACGGAGGAUCCGAGCGUUAUCCGGAUUUAUUGGGUUUAAAGGGUGCGUAGGCGGCCUUUUAAGUCAGCGGUGAAAGUCUGUGGCUCAACCAUAGAAUUGCCGUUGAAACUGGGGGGCUUGAGUAUGUUUGAGGCAGGCGGAAUGCGUGGUGUAGCGGUGAAAUGCUUAGAUAUCACGCAGAACCCCGAUUGCGAAGGCAGCCUGCCAAGCCAUUACUGACGCUGAUGCACGAAAGCGUGGGGAUCAAACAGGAUUAGAUACCCUGGUAGUCCACGCAGUAAACGAUGAUCACUAGCUGUUUGCGAUACAUUGUAAGCGGCACAGCGAAAGCGUUAAGUGAUCCACCUGGGGAGUACGCCGGCAACGGUGAAACUCAAAGGAAUUGACGGGGGCCCGCACAAGCGGAGGAACAUGUGGUUUAAUUCGAUGAUACGCGAGGAACCUUACCCGGGUUUGAACGCAUUCGGACCGAGGUGGAAACACCCUUUCUAGCAAUAGCCGUUUGCGAGGUGCUGCAUGGUUGUCGUCAGCUCGUGCCGUGAGGUGUCGGCUUAAGUGCCAUAACGAGCGCAACCCUUGCCACUAGUUACUAACAGGUGAUGCUGAGGACUCUGGUGGGACUGCCAGCGUAAGCUGCGAGGAAGGCGGGGAUGACGUCAAAUCAGCACGGCCCUUACAUCCGGGGCGACACACGUGUUACAAUGGCGUGGACAAAGGGAGGCCACCUGGCGACAGGGAGCGAAUCCCCAAACCACGUCUCAGUUCGGAUCGGAGUCUGCAACCCGACUCCGUGAAGCUGGAUUCGCUAGUAAUCGCGCAUCAGCCAUGGCGCGGUGAAUACGUUCCCGGGCCUUGUACACACCGCCCGUCAAGCCAUGGGAGCCGGGGGUACCUGAAGUCCGUAACCGCGAGGAUCGGCCUAGGGUAAAACUGGUGACUGGGGC